Molecule: ribosomal RNA, 452 nt
Filed under: uncultured bacterium
Lineage: Bacteria
Description: partial 16S ribosomal RNA
Rfam family: Bacterial small subunit ribosomal RNA
Source: RNAcentral
AGCGAACGCUGGCGGCAGGCUUAACACAUGCAAGUCGAGCGGGCAUCUUCGGGUGUCAGCGGCGGACGGGUGAGUAACGCGUGGGAACGUGCCCUCUGGUUCGGAAUAACUCAGGGAAACUUGAGCUAAUACCGGAUACGCCCUUUUUGGGGAAAGGCUUGCUGCCGGAGGAUCGGCCCGCGUCUGAUUAGCUAGUUGGUGGGGUAACGGCCUACCAAGGCGACGAUCAGUAGCUGGUCUGAGAGGAUGAUCAGCCACACUGGGACUGAGACACGGCCCAGACUCCUACGGGAGGCAGCAGUGGGGAAUAUUGGACAAUGGGGGCAACCCUGAUCCAGCCAUGCCGCGUGAGUGAUGAAGGCCUUAGGGUUGUAAAGCUCUUUUAUCCGGGACGAUAAUGACGGUACCGGAGGAAUAAGCCCCGGCUAACUUCGUGCCAGCCGCCGCCGUAA